Molecule: long non-coding RNA, 290 nt
Filed under: Malus domestica (apple)
Lineage: Eukaryota; Viridiplantae; Streptophyta; Magnoliopsida; Rosales; Rosaceae
Description: long non-coding RNA (MDOM_LNC003512)
Source: RNAcentral
CCGUCCUCAUCGAAACCCUCACCGCCCUCGGCGCCGAGGUCCGCUGGUGCUCCUGCAACAUUUUCUCCACCCAGGACCACGCAGCCGCCGCCAUCGCCCGUGACAGCGCCGCCGUCUUUGCCUGGAAGGGCGAGACCCUCCAGGAGUACUGGUGGUGCACCGAGCGCGCCCUCGACUGGGGCCCCGGUGGUGGACCCGAUCUGAUCGUCGACGACGGCGGUGACGCCACCCUCUUGAUCCACGAGGGAGUCAAGGCCGAGGAGGAGUUCGCGAAGUCCGGGACUCUCCCC